GUCGGGAUAGCUCAGUUGGUAGAGCAGAGGACUGAAAAU
This 39-nucleotide transfer RNA is filed under the name Narcissus bulbocodium. Its description in RNAcentral is "partial tRNA-Phe". The record is from RNAcentral. RNAcentral also lists the same sequence under 10 other names. Lineage: Eukaryota; Viridiplantae; Streptophyta; Magnoliopsida; Asparagales; Amaryllidaceae.